RNAcentral lists this ribosomal RNA (292 nucleotides) under uncultured bacterium. RNAcentral's name for it is "partial 16S ribosomal RNA". It matches the Rfam family "Bacterial small subunit ribosomal RNA", at positions 505 to 796 of the family's 1533-position model. The record is from RNAcentral.
GUGUCAGCCGCCGCGGUAAUACAGAGGGUGCAAGCGUUGUUCGGAAUUAUUGGGCGUAAAGCGCGUGUAGGCGGCUUUGCAAGUCGGGUGUGAAAGCCCUCAGCUUAACUGAGGAAGUGCGCCCGAAACUGCAGAGCUCGAGUACCGGAGAGGAUGGUGGAAUUCCCCAAGUAGAGGUGAAAUUCGUAGAUAUGGGGAGGAACACCGGUGGCGAAGGCGACCAUCUGGACGGAUACUGACGCUGAGACGCGAAAGCGUGGGUAGCAAACAGGAUUAGAUACCCGCGUAGUCC